CAAAUACUAUAUUUAACAGAAUGGCUAAAUCCAAAAGAAUACUACAACACCUGGCUAGAAAUAGAACAGUUAGACUGCAAACACAUUAAACUCUCUGAUCUCCCUUUUAUCACUGCGACCCUCAAACAUCACAACUGCUUUAAAAACCCACUAAUUGCCUCCACACUGACUGCAUGGUGGAAAGCCCUGGACAUCACAAAUGGCCAAUUAAAAACUAGUAUACUCUCUCCAAUUUGGCACAACCCCGACUUUAAAAAUAAAAAAACACCACUCUAUCUGAAGACAUGGGAAGAGAGUGGAAUCACUCAUCUCCAAGACCUUUUUGAAAAUGACAAGAUCAGGUCAUAUAACAAUCUAACCCAAGCAUUCGAUAUAAAUAAAAGUAACUUUCUACAGUACUUACAAGUAACAGAGACAAUAAAGAAAACCACUCCACUAGACUUAACUACGUUACAACCUCCAGACCUGGCUAUAUAUAUGAAAAAAAUCUCAACAAAAUCAAAAAAACUCUCAAAAAUAUACAGAGCGCUUUCGAACACUAACUGUAAUUACUUACCAAUCGCGAAGUGGGAGGCCGAACUCUCAAUCACCCCGAGCACUGAUUUCUGGGCAGAAAUUUGUUGUAAUACUUUUAAGAUGACAAAAAACACAAACCUUCAGCUAAUUCAAUACAAGGUCCUCCACAGAUCCCACAUUACCCAACAGAAAAUGCAUAAAAUGGGCUUCUCAGCAACAGACAUCUGCUCUCAGUGCACCCAGAAUACAGCGGAUUCCUAUUUACAUGCCUUAUGGCUUUGCUCCCCCAGUUCAACACUUUUGGAUUCUAAUCACUGAAAAACUGUCCUCCAUUUUGGACUACAGAAUUCCUUUAUCUCCAAAUCUUUGUUUGAUUGGAGACCUGACAAUGCUUCAACCUCCAGCAAACCAAUCACAAUCAAUCCUUGCGGCACUAGCCAUAGCAAAAAAAACAAUAUUACUAAAUUGGAAAGACAAAAAAUCCUUAAACAUAAACCAAUGGCAAA
RNAcentral lists this long non-coding RNA (1022 nucleotides) under Gouania willdenowi (blunt-snouted clingfish). RNAcentral describes it as "lncRNA (ENSGWIG00000009084.1)". Lineage: Eukaryota; Metazoa; Chordata; Actinopteri; Blenniiformes; Gobiesocidae. The record is from RNAcentral.